This 382-nucleotide long non-coding RNA is filed under the name Dasypus novemcinctus (nine-banded armadillo). RNAcentral describes it as "lncRNA (ENSDNOG00000052823.1)". The record is from RNAcentral. Lineage: Eukaryota; Metazoa; Chordata; Mammalia; Cingulata; Dasypodidae.
GAGGAAGGGCUGGCAGUGCCCGCUGGACAGCUGCCCCGGGCAGGAGAGGAAGGGACAGGCCGAGAGGGGGACAGAGGCGCAGAGGCACAUGGAGACGCGGAGAGACGGGGAGACCCUCAGAGAGAGAGUGAGAAGCUAAAAGACCUGGAGAGGCGUGCAGCGGGAAGCAGGGGGCGAGGCAGCCGCGGAGGGGGAGCGGGGCUGCAGGCCGCCCCGGGCGGUGACCCUGCAGGUGGCAGCUGGAGGGGGGCGCCGGGGCCCAGAACUCUGUCCGGCCGAGUGGGCAGCAGGAAUACCUGACACAGAACAAUGGUGUUUCUUCAGCAGGUGAGUGCUCUCCCGGCCUCCGUGGGCUUUCAUCUUUCUCAGUCCCUGCAGCUGU